GUGUCAGCCGCCGCGGUAACACGUACUGUGCGAACGUUAUUCGGAAUCACUGGGCUUAAAGGGUGCGUAGGCGGCCAUUUAAGUAGGGUGUGAAAUCCCCCGGCUCAACCGGGGAAUGGCGCUCUAAACUGGAUGGCUGGAGUGAGAUAGGGGUGUGUGGAACUUCCAGUGGAGCGGUGAAAUGUGUUGAUAUUGGAAGGAACGCCGUUGGCGAAAGCGGCACACUGGGUCUCAACUGACGCUGAGGCACGAAAGCUAGGGGAGCGAACGGGAUUAGAUACCCCCGUAGUCC
This 292-nucleotide ribosomal RNA is filed under the name uncultured bacterium. RNAcentral's name for it is "partial 16S ribosomal RNA". It matches the Rfam family "Bacterial small subunit ribosomal RNA", at positions 505 to 796 of the family's 1533-position model. The record is from RNAcentral.